This is a long non-coding RNA of Pipistrellus kuhlii (Kuhl's pipistrelle), 758 nucleotides long. RefSeq lists it as uncharacterized. The record is from RefSeq and is a predicted model, not a curated record. The transcript is spliced from 2 exons. Lineage: Eukaryota; Metazoa; Chordata; Mammalia; Chiroptera; Vespertilionidae.
CAGAAAUGUCUGCAGAGAUGAAUCUAUCAUCAUCCCAGUUCAUAAAAAAAGAAUAUAUUAGUUUCCCAUUUCUCUUAAACCUAAUACCCCAUCUAUUUCCAAAAAAAAAUUUGAAGCCAAAACAAAUGCAUUAUGAAGUAUUAAGAUACAUUUUUGAUCUUUUUUACAGAGAAAAGCAGGCAUUACACUGAGAAAACAGAACGUGGGCAUCUAGCAUCUCACAGCACAGAACUGCUGCAUGAGGGGUGCCUGAAGAUGCCUACUAUGUGCUAAUCCACAGAAUACAGCAGCGAAUGAAACUUAAAUAGGAACUAGACCACCCCUGAAAACAAAACAAUUGAAAACUUAGAGCAAGGUAAGCAUUAAUAAGGGAAGUAAUUACUACACUGGUAUUCAAAACCAUAGAAUAAGAUGAGCCUAUUGUUAUAAACCUAUUCCAACAGUUCCAUGAAAAUCAUUCGAUUUUAUUUUGUUUCCUUUCUGUGAAAUCAGUGCAAUUUUACCUAGAGAAUGUAAUAGAAUUAAAACUCUACCUCAUACUGAGAGAGAUACAUCCCUAAGGGAAAAGUCUCACAUUGAAGAUAUUGGGAAUUAAUGUGCUUUUCCUCCUUUUGCUUUUAGAAAUGUUUUAGUUAUUUACUUUUAUAAACCACACAAUAUACUUAAAUAUCCUAUAAACUUUAAAAACAGCAUUCAUUACUUUUCUCUGGGUCCUAUUUGAUUAGAAACCAUUCUCUCUCCUAAAUAACAUCUAGGUU